This 108-nucleotide non-coding RNA is filed under the name uncultured eukaryote. The record is from RNAcentral.
AGAUAGCAAAAACUAGAAAAAGAAACAAAAGUUGGAAGAAUUAAAAAGGCCGAAUUUCACGUCAAUAUCUCAUUUUCAUUUUUUUUCGAUGAUUUUUUGGAUUAUGCU